UGGGGAAUAUUGCGCAAUGGGGGAAACCCUGACGCAGCAACGCCGCGUGAAGGAAGAAGGCCUUCGGGUUGUAAACUUUUGUCUUUGGUGAAGAUAAUGACGGUAGCCAGAGAGGAAGCCACGGCUAACUACGUGCCAGCAGCCGCGGUAAUACGUAGGUGGCGAGCGUUGUCCGGAAUUACUGGGUGUAAAGGGUGCGUAGGCGGGCAGGCAAGUUGGAUGUGAAAUACCGGGGCUUAACUCCGGGGCUGCAUCCAAAACUGCAGGUCUUGAGUGAAGUAGAGGCAAGCGGAAUUCCCAGUGUAGCGGUGAAAUGCGUAGAGAUUGGGAGGAACACCAGUGGCGAAGGCGGCUUGCUGGGCUUUAACUGACGCUGAGGCACGAAAGCAUGGGGAGCAAACAGG
RNAcentral lists this ribosomal RNA (404 nucleotides) under uncultured prokaryote. RNAcentral describes it as "bacterial SSU rRNA". It matches the Rfam family "Bacterial small subunit ribosomal RNA", at positions 355 to 776 of the family's 1533-position model. RNAcentral also lists the same sequence under 1 other name. The record is from RNAcentral.